UCCCCAAGUAUAAAGUUCCCCUGAUUCAGCGACUGCAGCAGUAUGUGUGCCACUAGUGGCAAUAUGCUGUAUUUUCCCAUUCCAAAAGCCUUCAACCAAUCUAGGAAGNNNNNNAGGAAGCAGUUCUCUGUGAUAAACAGAAUGUCCCAGUGCACCAAAACCACCAUAACCCCAUGUGAAGACCUGACCGAGGGAAGUGAGGGCAACGGAAUGGAUGCCACCUAGAGCAAUACACCGAACGCCAUCCAGAUUAGGGUUCAGCGUGNNNNNNNNNACAGGAUUCUCAUGUCCAAAGCCUAGACGGCCCCCAUCACCUUUUCCCCAAAUCCAAAAACUACCAUCUACAAGCAGUGCAGAAUGAAAUAAUCCACAAGAAAUUCCCACUUCAAGAACUUGUUUGUUAAUGCAAUUGUGAUCCUUGUUAACAAGUUGCCCUGGCGUUGGUGAGAGUAUGAAAGAGGAGGGCAACACCUGGAGGUUGACUAUUAGGGCUGGGUACAAUUGCAUUUGUUCACUGCCACCACCAAGCUGGCCAGAUGUGCCUCUUCCCCAGGAGAAGAGCUGGAGCAUUACAGCCUCAUUUUUGUUGUGGUCAUUGAUUUCUGAGCUUUUGUAGAGUAUAGGCACCUUGUUUCUGGUGGCAGAUGAUGAGGAGAUGCGGCGAGUGAAUGGCCUGGACAGAAAUCAAGGAAUGCAUUUGGUUUCUGCCCAAAGAGAAUCCAACAUAAGCCAUAGACUUGCCUCUAACAAUUUCCAGGAACUGAGCGGGGUCGAAAACAGUUAGAUCACACCCAUCUGGUUUCCAUGUCCAUUUCAUGAACUCAGUCCCAGGUCUGCAUAUCUCAUGCAAUUUUGAUGCUCAUGUAUUGACAAAACAUUAUGUUCUGUUUGUGUAGUAUAGGGGUCCAGGAUUUGGCACCCACUCCUGAGUCUUGACUCUCCAGAGAAUAUAUCGCAUUUCUUAGCUAUCGAUUUUUAUAUGCGUAUCAGGUUAGUGGAGUCGGUAACCGGACGUUCAAGUCGUUUCCCCUCUUUUAUUUCGCUAAUGCUUUUAUUGACGUUCAAGCGGGCUAGACGAACAUGGAAAUGGUGAGUGGGAGGCGAAGACCAAUGGUGAAGGGGGAACGUUUGUGGCGGUAGUGGCGGGCGGUGGUGUUAGGGUUUUAGGGAGAGUUUAGAGAAUGCGAGGAGACAAGAGGGCCGAGAGGGUGGAGCACUGGACCCCGGGGUGGAACUGGAGAGGA
This 1244-nucleotide unclassified non-coding RNA is filed under the name Hevea brasiliensis (rubber tree). The record is from RNAcentral. Lineage: Eukaryota; Viridiplantae; Streptophyta; Magnoliopsida; Malpighiales; Euphorbiaceae.